AGUGAACGCUGGCGGUAGGCCUGACACAUGCAAGUCGAACGGCAGCACAGGAGAGCUUGCUCUCUGGGUGGCGAGUGGCGGACGGGUGAGGAAUACAUCGGAAUCUACUCUGUCGUGGGGGAUAACGUAGGGAAACUUACGCUAAUACCGCAUACGACCUACGGGUGAAAGCAGGGGACCUUCGGGCCUUGCGCGAUUGAAUGAGCCGAUGUCGGAUUAGCUAGUUGGCGGGGUAAAGGCCCACCACGGCGACGAUCCGUAGCUGGUCUGAGAGGAUGAUCAGCCACACUGGAACUGAGACACGGUCCAGACUCCUACGGGAGGCAGCAGGGGGGAAUAUUGGACAAUGGGCGCAAGCCUGAUCCAGCCAUACCGCGUGGGUGAAGAAGGCCUUCGGGUUGUAAAGCCCUUUUGUUGGGAAAGAAAUCCAGCUGGCUAAUACCCGGUUGGGAUGACGGUACCCAAAGAAUAAGCACCGGCUAACUUCGUGCCAGCCGCCGCUGUAA
Molecule: ribosomal RNA, 506 nt
Filed under: uncultured bacterium
Lineage: Bacteria
Description: partial 16S ribosomal RNA
Rfam family: Bacterial small subunit ribosomal RNA
Source: RNAcentral